CUCGACAACUGAUAUCUUGGCUCUCGCAUCGAUGAAGAAUGUAGUGAAAUGCAAUACUUGGUGUGAAUUGUAGAAAUCCCGGAACCAUCGAGUAUUUUGAACGCAAGGUUGCGCCCUGGAACCUUUUUGGCCAACCCCACAUCUUCCUAGGCAUCACG
This 158-nucleotide ribosomal RNA is filed under the name Begonia chitoensis. Its description in RNAcentral is "5.8S ribosomal RNA". It matches the Rfam family "5.8S ribosomal RNA". Rfam says of the family: 5.8S ribosomal RNA (5.8S rRNA) is a component of the large subunit of the eukaryotic ribosome. It is transcribed by RNA polymerase I as part of the 45S precursor that also contains 18S and 28S rRNA. The record is from RNAcentral. Lineage: Eukaryota; Viridiplantae; Streptophyta; Magnoliopsida; Cucurbitales; Begoniaceae.